CCCUUAGAUGUUCUGGGCCGCACGCGCGCUACACUGAUGCAUUCAACGAGCCUAUCCUUGACCGACAGGUCCGGGUAAUCUUUGAAUCUGCAUCGUGACGGGGAUAGAUUAUUGCAAUUAUUAAUCUUCAACGAGGAAUGCCUAGUAGGCGCAAGUCAUCAGCUUGCGUCGAUUACGUCCCUGCCCUUUGUACACACCACCCGUCGCUCCUACUGAUUGGGUGAUCCGGUGAGCUGUUCGGCCAUAGCAAUGUUUCUUGAGCAGGGCAAUGAAUGUUUCGCAAACCUUGGCACUUAGAGGAAGGAGAAGUCGUAACA
This 317-nucleotide ribosomal RNA is filed under the name uncultured eukaryote. Its description in RNAcentral is "partial 18S ribosomal RNA". It matches the Rfam family "Eukaryotic small subunit ribosomal RNA", at positions 1470 to 1796 of the family's 1831-position model. The record is from RNAcentral.